Molecule: transfer RNA, 73 nt
Filed under: Ailuropoda melanoleuca (giant panda)
Lineage: Eukaryota; Metazoa; Chordata; Mammalia; Carnivora; Ursidae
Rfam family: tRNA
About the family: Transfer RNA (tRNA) molecules are approximately 80 nucleotides in length. Their secondary structure includes four short double-helical elements and three loops (D, anti-codon, and T loops).
Source: Rfam by way of RNAcentral
GCCUGGCUGGCUCAGUCAGUAGAGCAUGGAACUCUUGACCUCAGGAUCAUGAGUUUAAGUCCCAUGUUGGGUG